CCCUCGAUGGUGUAGUUGGUUCAUCACGUCGCUCUGUAAUGGUAACAUCGUCAAGCGAAGGUCACCGGCUCGACUCCGGUUCGAGGGA
Non-coding RNA from Saitoella complicata NRRL Y-17804, 88 nucleotides. Lineage: Eukaryota; Fungi; Ascomycota; Saitoellomycetes; Saitoellales; Saitoellaceae. The record is from the annotation of a RefSeq genome assembly.